GAUGAACGCUGGCGGCGUGCCUAAUACAUGCAAGUCGAGCGAACGGACGAGAAGCUUGCUUCUCUGAUGUUAGCGGCGGACGGGUGAGUAACACGUGGAUAACCUACCUAUAAGGCUGGGAUAACUUCGGGAAACCGGAGCUAAUACCGGAUGAUAUUUUGAACCGCAUGGUUCAAAAGUGAAAGACGGUCUUGCUGUCACUUAUAGAUGGAUCCGCGCUGCAUUAGCUAGUUGGUAAGGUAACGGCUUACCAAGGCAACGAUGCAUAGCCGACCUGAGAGGGUGAUCGGCCACACUGGAACUGAGACACGGUCCAGACUCCUACGGGAGGCAGCAGUAGGGAAUCUUCCGCGAUGGGCGAAUGCCUGACGGAGCAACGCCGCGUGAGUGAUGAAGGUCUUCGGAUCGUAAAACUCUGUUAUUAGGGAAGAACAUAUGUGUAAGUAACUGUGCACAUCUUGACGGUACCUAAUCAGAAAGCCACGGCUAACUACGUG
RNAcentral lists this ribosomal RNA (497 nucleotides) under uncultured bacterium. RNAcentral's name for it is "partial 16S ribosomal RNA". It matches the Rfam family "Bacterial small subunit ribosomal RNA", at positions 28 to 507 of the family's 1533-position model. The record is from RNAcentral.